This 552-nucleotide ribosomal RNA is filed under the name uncultured ciliate. RNAcentral's name for it is "SSU rRNA". It matches the Rfam family "Eukaryotic small subunit ribosomal RNA", at positions 4 to 565 of the family's 1831-position model. The record is from RNAcentral. Lineage: Eukaryota; Ciliophora.
CUGGUUGAUCCUGCCAGUAGUCAUAUGCUUGUCUCAAAGACUAAGCCAUGCAUGUCUAAGUAUAAAUGUUAUACAGUGAAACUGCGAAUGGCUCAUUAAAACAGUUAUAGUUUAUUUGAUAAUCGAAUUUACAUGGAUAACCGUGGUAAUUCUAGAGCUAAUACAUGCUGGUUAGCCUGACUUCGAGGAAGGGCUGUAUUUAUUAGAUAACAAACCAAUAUUCUUCGUGUCUAUUGUGAUGACUCAUAAUAACUGAUCGAAUCGCAUGGUCCUUGGCCGCGAUAAAUCAUUCAAGUUUCUGCCCCAUCAGCUUUCGAUGGUAGUGUAUUGGACUACCAUGGCUUUAACGGGUAACGGAGGAUUAGGGUUCGAUUCCGGAGAGGGAGCCUGAGAAACGGCUACCACAUCUAAGGAAGGCAGCAGGCGCGUAAAUUACCCAAUCCUGACUCAGGGAGGUAGUGACAAGAAAUAACGGACCGAGGCUUUGCUUCGGGAUUGCAAUGAGUAGAAUUUAAACCCCUUUACGAGGAUCCAUUGGAGGGCAAGUCUGGU